AAUACGUGAGUAACCUACCUUUAACUCUGGGAUAAGCCUGGGAAACUGGGUCUAAUACCGGAUACGACCAAUCUCCGCAUGGGGUGUUGGUGGAAAGCGUUAUGUAGUGGUUAUAGAUGGGCUCACGGCCUAUCAGCUUGUUGGUGAGGUAACGGCUCACCAAGGCGACGACGGGUAGCCGGCCUGAGAGGGUGACCGGCCACACUGGGACUGAGACACGGCCCAGACUCCUACGGGAGGCAGCAGUGGGGAAUAUUGCACAAUGGGCGCAAGCCUGAUGCAGCGACGCCGCGUGAGGGAUGACGGCCUUCGGGUUGUAAACCUCUGUUAGCAGGGAAGAAGAGAGAUUGACGGUACCUGCAGAGAAAGCGCCGGCUAACUACGUGCCAGCAGCCGCGGUAAUACGUAGGGCGCGAGCGUUGUCCGGAAUUAUUGGGCGUAAAGAGCUUGUAGGCGGUUUGUCGCGUCUGCUGUGAAAGGCCGGAGCUUAACUCCGUGUAUUGCAGUGGGUACGGGCAGACUAGAGUGCAGUAGGGGAGACUGGAAUUCCUGGUGUAGCGGUGGAAUGCGCARAUAUCAGGAGGAACACCGA
RNAcentral lists this ribosomal RNA (592 nucleotides) under Rothia mucilaginosa. Its description in RNAcentral is "bacterial SSU rRNA". The record is from RNAcentral. Lineage: Bacteria; Bacillati; Actinomycetota; Actinomycetes; Micrococcales; Micrococcaceae.